CAAGAUGCACAGGACAUAGCUGUCGCGGCAACGCGAGAGAGGAAAGUCCGGACUGCGUGGGACGGCACACCGGCUAACGACCGGGCGGGGUGACCCGACGAUUAGAGGAACAGUAACGUAUGCGAUUAAGUUCGUUUGAAACGGCCAAUCUCUGUGUGCAGCAACUUCAAAUAGGCCCCCAAUGGUUUGUCCCAAUCCGGGGGCGGGUAGAGGGCUUGAUGCCCAGUGGUAACAUUGGGUACAGAUUAAUUAUGUCCGCCACCCCGCUGUGGUUGGAAACGACUGGGGCAGGGCGUGUACAGAAUCCGGCUUAUCGUGCAUCUGGACAA
This 329-nucleotide RNase P RNA is filed under the name Alphaproteobacteria bacterium. Its description in RNAcentral is "RNase P RNA component class A". It matches the Rfam family "Bacterial RNase P class A". Rfam says of the family: Ribonuclease P (RNase P) is a ubiquitous endoribonuclease, found in archaea, bacteria and eukarya as well as chloroplasts and mitochondria. Its best characterised activity is the generation of mature 5'-ends of tRNAs by cleaving the 5'-leader elements of precursor-tRNAs. Cellular RNase Ps are ribonucleoproteins. The record is from RNAcentral. Lineage: Bacteria; Pseudomonadati; Pseudomonadota; Alphaproteobacteria.